GUGCCAGCCGCCGCGGUAAUACGGAGGGUCCAAGCGUUAUCCGGAAUCAUUGGGUUUAAAGGGUCCGUAGGCGGUUUAGUAAGUCAGUGGUGAAAGCCCAUCGCUCAACGGUGGAACGGCCAUUGAUACUGCUAAACUUGAAUUAUUGUGAAGUAACUAGAAUAUGUAGUGUAGCGGUGAAAUGCUUAGAGAUUACAUGGAAUACCAAUUGCGAAGGCAGGUUACUAACAAUAUAUUGACGCUGAUGGACGAAAGCGUGGGUAGCGAACAGGAUUAGAAACCCCCGUAGUCC
This 292-nucleotide ribosomal RNA is filed under the name uncultured bacterium. RNAcentral's name for it is "partial 16S ribosomal RNA". It matches the Rfam family "Bacterial small subunit ribosomal RNA", at positions 505 to 796 of the family's 1533-position model. The record is from RNAcentral.